This is a long non-coding RNA of Rhagoletis zephyria (snowberry fruit fly), 125 nucleotides long. RefSeq lists it as uncharacterized. The record is from RefSeq and is a predicted model, not a curated record. NCBI's taxonomy places the organism in Eukaryota, Metazoa, Arthropoda, Insecta, Diptera, Tephritidae.
UUUUGAAGUAGAGCACCUACCGGAUGAGUUGUAGAGUCCGACCGAUUAAUCGGCAUCGGCUAGUAUCGGCACGAAAUUGAGCAUCGGCACCGGCAUCGGUCUUUUUUGCCGAUUAUUUGGAAUUU